GCCUCAGUCAAAAUCCAUAUAACUUCA
This 27-nucleotide small nuclear RNA is filed under the name Arabidopsis thaliana (thale cress). Its description in RNAcentral is "snRNA_01749". The record is from RNAcentral. Lineage: Eukaryota; Viridiplantae; Streptophyta; Magnoliopsida; Brassicales; Brassicaceae.